GAAAUGCGAUAAGUAGUGUGAAUUGCAGAAUUCAGUGAAUCAUCGAACCUUUGAACGCACAUUGCGCCCCUUGGUAUUCCAUGGGGCAUGCCUGUUCGAGCGUCAUUUGUACCCUCAAGCUCUGCUUGGUGUUGGGUGUUUGUCCCCGUCUCCGCGCGUGGACUCGCCCCAAAGUGAUUGGCAGCCGGCGUACUGGUCCCGGAGCGCAGCACAUGUCGCGCAAACGAGUGCCUUGGUACGGCGGCGUCCAUAAGCCCCUCUCUCACGCUCUUGACCUCGGAUCAGGUAGGGAUACCCGCUGAACUUAAGC
This 310-nucleotide unclassified non-coding RNA is filed under the name plant metagenome. Its description in RNAcentral is "partial contains 5.8S ribosomal RNA, internal transcribed spacer 2, and large subunit ribosomal RNA". The stretch from base 1 to 105 matches the Rfam family "5.8S ribosomal RNA", at positions 50 to 154 of the family's 154-position model. The record is from RNAcentral.